GCUCCGGUGGCCUAGUGGUUAAACCGUCCGCCUCGUAUGCGGGAUGUCGUGGGUUAGAACCCCGACUGAGUCA
Molecule: non-coding RNA, 73 nt
Organism: Potamilus streckersoni
Lineage: Eukaryota; Metazoa; Mollusca; Bivalvia; Unionida; Unionidae
Source: the annotation of a GenBank genome assembly